This 125-nucleotide small RNA is filed under the name Marmota monax (woodchuck). The record is from RNAcentral. Lineage: Eukaryota; Metazoa; Chordata; Mammalia; Rodentia; Sciuridae.
GUCAGGCACGGUGGCACACGCCUGUAAUCCCAGUAGCUUAGGAGGCUGAGACAGGAGGAUUGCAAGUUCAAAGCCAGCCUCAGCAAUGGUGAGUUGCUAAGCAACUCAGUGAGACCCUGUCUCUA